GAGAGCAGAGAAGGAAAAUAGAACAACUUUGAGCGGUGGAUCACUCGGCUCGUGCGUCGAUGAAGAGCGCAGCCAGCUGCGUGAAUUAAUGUGAAUUGCAGAACACAUUGAACAUCG
Molecule: ribosomal RNA, 117 nt
Filed under: Zaptyx daemonorum
Lineage: Eukaryota; Metazoa; Mollusca; Gastropoda; Stylommatophora; Clausiliidae
Also listed under: 2 other names
Description: Metazaptyx daemonorum partial 5.8S rRNA
Rfam family: 5.8S ribosomal RNA (bases 25-117)
About the family: 5.8S ribosomal RNA (5.8S rRNA) is a component of the large subunit of the eukaryotic ribosome.
Source: RNAcentral